GACGAACCGUGCGAACGUUGUUCGGAUUCACUGGGCUUAAAGGGCGCGUAGGCGGGUUCCCAAGUCGGGGGUGAAAUCCCACGGCCCAACCGUGGAAGAGCUUCCGAUACUGGGAGUCUGGAGGGAGGUAGGGGCGUGUGGAACUUCCGGUGGAGCGGUGAAAUGCGUAGAUAUCGGAAGGAACGCCGGUGGCGAAAGCGACGCGCUGGACCUCUUCUGACGCUGAGGCGCGAAAGCCAGGGGAGCAAACGGG
This 253-nucleotide ribosomal RNA is filed under the name uncultured bacterium. Its description in RNAcentral is "partial 16S ribosomal RNA". It matches the Rfam family "Bacterial small subunit ribosomal RNA", at positions 524 to 776 of the family's 1533-position model. The record is from RNAcentral.